UGGGGAAUUUUUGGCAAUGGGGGAAACCCUGACCAAGCAACGCCGCGUGGGUGAUGAAGUCUCUUGGGACGUAAAGCCCUUUCGACGGGGAAGAAACCGCAAGGUUGACGGUACCCGUAGAAGAAGCCCCGGCUAACUCCGUGCCAGCAGCCGCGGUAAUACGGGGGGGGCAAGCGUUGUUCGGAAUUACUGGGCGUAAAGGGUGCGCAGGCGGCUCGCUAAGUUGGAUGUGAAAACUCUGGGCUCAACCCAGUGCCUGCAUCCAAAACUGGCGGGCUCGAGUUCUGGAGGGGGUAGCGGAAUUCCUGGUGUAGCGGUGAAAUGCGUAGAUAUCAGGAGGAACACCGGUGGCGAAGGCGGCUACCUGGACAGAAACUGACGCUCAUGCACGAAAGCUAGGGGAGCAAACAG
This 411-nucleotide ribosomal RNA is filed under the name uncultured bacterium. RNAcentral's name for it is "bacterial SSU rRNA". It matches the Rfam family "Bacterial small subunit ribosomal RNA", at positions 355 to 775 of the family's 1533-position model. The record is from RNAcentral.